Molecule: long non-coding RNA, 402 nt
Organism: Solanum verrucosum
Lineage: Eukaryota; Viridiplantae; Streptophyta; Magnoliopsida; Solanales; Solanaceae
Exons: 2
Source: RefSeq, a predicted model, not a curated record
UUUGGAUGUGAUAAGAAAAUGUUGAUCACACAAAAUUUUAUCAAUUGCUAUUCUUCAUCUACCAAUUUUUCUUAUAUUUUUUUGAAAUAUAGAAAAAGAAGAUUGAGUACUAAACAUUCAACAAUUUCAUUUGCAAAAAAGAGAGAAUUUUCUGAGAAAUCAAAAGUUGAAGAAAACGCAAUUUCAUCAUUGAAAAUUCCAAGAAAUUUUCUUAUUCAAGCUGUUGUUGGAGUUUUUGCUUUGGGGUUCAUUGAUGCAGGGUAUAGUGGAGAUUGGUCAAGAAUUGGAGUGAUCUCAAAGGAUAAUGAAGAUUUACUGAAAAUUGCAGCAUUUUUAAUAGUACCAUUGUGUCUCUUUGUGAUAUUUUCUUUCUCUAAGAAAAUUGAAGAAUGAAAGCGUUUU